This is a long non-coding RNA of Drosophila sechellia, 889 nucleotides long. RefSeq lists it as uncharacterized. NCBI's taxonomy places the organism in Eukaryota, Metazoa, Arthropoda, Insecta, Diptera, Drosophilidae. The record is from RefSeq and is a predicted model, not a curated record. The transcript has 3 exons.
GGCCGAGUGACAGCUAGUUGGUAGUCAAUAGCAGUUGUAAACACUUCUGGGUCCGUCCGUUAGUCCGUCUAUUGGUCCCUUAUCAUCUGGAUUUGUCCAGAGUCGACCAGGCUGAGUUGCGUUUGGCCGGGAUCAGGCUGUAAGCCAAAUCAAUCAUAUCAUAUGCUAUCACUGCCGUCGUUCGCAGUGUGUAAACAAGUCUGAGCUGAUAAUUGGCAAUUUGGCUGUUCAUUUAGCUGCUGCUCAGCUGGCUGGAGAGGAAGUCCGAUCCGAUCUGGCUCCCUAUCAACCCCGCAUUCUCAGAAAGUCACGUCACAGUCACGUCCUCCGAUGUGGCGGCAUAGCACUGGCAUUACUCACUCUUGGUGCAGAUUAAUACACAAUUCCGGUUCUAGGUCAACCUGCAAAUGCGAAAGAGAGACGGAGAGGCGUGUGAGUGAGAUGGCGUCUACUUGCGAGCAUAACUGCCAGCGGUAUACAUGCGAAAAAAUCAACAAUUAAUCAUAGUUAUUGCGAACUUGGGAGCAAACAGCGGAAGGGAAAGUUACACAGCAGCGGGCAUCAACGAAGACAAAAGGCCCUAAAUCUUAUAGAUACUUCAAAAUCAGCAUAUGCCAGCAGUAAUAUUUAUUUUCGUUUUAAGCAGCGGGAUAUUCCGAUGAAUGGAGAGAUCGCAUCGGAGCAGACAGGGGCUUGCUCUGGGAUCUCGGAUGGCAUCCGUGUCUUUGGAGUCUGUGACGCCAAGAGAAAGAGCGUGGCAUCCACACAGAUGUACAUUCGUAUACUUUCCGCACACGCACACACACCUUUCGCUUAAUGACAAACUAAAUUUAGAACUCGGAACAAUGCCAAAUAAUCUGCCGGCGAUGCUGGCGCUGUUCCUCGUCCC